GUCCUUUUGAGUUUAAUUUAAGGUCUGAUCUGCCCACUGAAAUUUAUUUUAAAUGGCCGCAGUAAUUUGACUGUGCAAAGGUAGCAUAAUAAUUAGUUUUUUAAUUAAAAGCUUGUAUGAAAGGUUGGACGAGGUAAAAUCUGUCUCUAUUUAAAUUAAAUUAGAAUUUAACUUUUAAGUCAAAAGGCUUAAAUUUAUAUAAAAGACGAGAAGACCCUAUAGAUCUUUAUAAUUUAAAUUUUAUUAUUAAUUAUGUAUUUUUGAUAUUUUAUAGUUUAAAUUAUUUUAUUGGGGUAAUAGGGAGAUUAAAAUAAUUCUUUUUUAUUAUUUACAUUAAUUUAUGGUUAUUGUUGGUCCAAUUUUAUUGAUUAUAAGAUUAAGUUACCUUAGGGAUAACAGCGUAAUUUUUUUAGAGAGUUCAUAUCGAUAAAAAAGUUUGCGACCUCGAUGUUGGAUUAAAAAUUAUUUUAGGUGUAGAAGCUUGAAAAUUUGGUCUGUUCGACCAUUAAAUUUUUACAUGAUCUGAGUUCAGACCGGCGUAAGCCAGGUCGGUUUCUAUCUUUAUUUAACUAAAAUAUUUUAGUACGAAAGGACCGAGUAUUUAAUAUAUUAAUAUUUGUUUUAUGAAUUUUAUUAAA
RNAcentral lists this ribosomal RNA (638 nucleotides) under Paropisthius indicus. RNAcentral describes it as "partial large subunit ribosomal RNA". It matches the Rfam family "Bacterial large subunit ribosomal RNA", at positions 1819 to 2758 of the family's 2925-position model. The record is from RNAcentral. Lineage: Eukaryota; Metazoa; Arthropoda; Insecta; Coleoptera; Carabidae.